This 202-nucleotide unclassified non-coding RNA is filed under the name uncultured fungus. Its description in RNAcentral is "sequence contains ITS1". The record is from RNAcentral. Lineage: Eukaryota; Fungi.
UUGAUUCAUUUUUUUUGCUUAUAGCCACUCAGAGAAUACCACUAAAGUAAAACAAGAGUUUGAGUCCCCCGGCGGGCGCCUGGUUCCGGGGCACGCGAUGGCGCCCGGGGCGAUCCCGCCGAAGCAACGACUGGUAAGGUUCACAGGGGUUUGGGAGUUUUUACACUCUGUAAUGAUCCCUCCGCUGGUUCACCAACGGAGA